Long non-coding RNA from Nicotiana attenuata, 1183 nucleotides. RefSeq lists it as uncharacterized. Lineage: Eukaryota; Viridiplantae; Streptophyta; Magnoliopsida; Solanales; Solanaceae. The record is from RefSeq and is a predicted model, not a curated record. The transcript is spliced from 2 exons.
GAAUUCCCACGAGUGGGGUCCGGGGAAGAUAGGAUGUAUGCGGCCUUACCCCUACCUUGGAAAGGCAGAGAGGCUGUUUACAAUAAAAACUGUUUCAUGAACGUCACCUUAAAUUCUGCUAAUUUAUUGAACUUUUAAUCAAUGCAUUCAUUGAACAUAUGCAUAGUUGUAAAGUCCACUGAAAUUUUGGCAUAUCAUAAACAAAGAAAUCAUUCAUAACUGUACACCUAAUUGGUUAAUUACCAGACAGGAACAUGUUACAAGGAGAAAAGGAAAGAAAAAACAACCCAGUGACCUUGUGCAUUGGUUGGAGAAGUUCUUGGUAGGAAACAUUUUACCCCUUAAUUAGUGGACCUACUAAUCUGGAUUAGUCGAGCCAGUAAGAUUCUUUUACCAAAAAAAGAAAAAAACUAAAAAGAGGAACAGCUGCUAUACUAAACUUGUUGUGCAGCAUGUGGAGAAUAAGUAAUAGGCUUUGCAAAAUACAAAGUUUUAUCAUUUCCAGGAAAGAAUACCACAAUUUUAGGCUCCGGAUCUAGGGGAUGUAGUGAAUACCUUUUCUUUUCCUCAUUAUUAUCUGUGUCUAUCAAAUGCUCUGAUGAAUUGGAAUUUUGGCGACAGCAAAAGAGAUAGAUUAAUGCAAAUGCAAUGGUCGCGAAAACGACGCCAAGACCACAAUACAGUGUGCUGAGGUGAAGACAUGACAGGCAUUGCUAAGCAGGUCGGAGUUCGGUCCCCAGGCAUGAUCACAACCAUACUAUGAUCUUGUUGAUCAGCUGGUGUAGUUGAUGGCUGUUCAGGUCGCUUUUCUGUGCUUUGCCUUUGUAAAUCUGAUGAAAAUUCUUCCCGUUUAGAGCAGCAGCAUUUGAGCACGCAUAAAAAAACCACGAACCCGAAGAAAACCAUAAGGCAACCAUUGGCUAUGUGGGCCGUUUUGGUAUAUGGUGCAGAGGUAAUUUCUUCAGUAUAGGCCAUAGAUACGUUAAAAUUGUUUGUUGAAUUCUGUUAAGUGUAAGCAAGGACUAUUAACUUUUUAAGUAGCUGAUUUAAAUGCCAAAAAAUGCUGAAAAAAAUAGCAGAUGUUAUAGAAUCUUGUAAUAUUGAAGUGCAAGUUUAAUUUGGAAAGGAAAAGACAAUGGGACUUUUUCCAAGAAGGGUGGAAUCCUGGAAUUAUUAGGCAGAA